GGGGAUGACUGGUUUCGACGGAUUCGUAGAAGCUUCAGUUGCGUGCCGAGGUUGGACUCCAGGCCUCGUAAAAAGGAGCCCAAAAUUAUAAAUGCUGACGAAAGUUACGCACUGGCUGCAUAAUCAGCCACGUCUCUACCCUGAAGCUUGUUAGGGGAUAGAGGCGACGACAACAAGCUGGCGCUAAUUUCGGGGAUCCGGGAGGCGGCGUAAGAUUUAACAGGAUCCUAGCGACCAACGUAGCCAUGGCAGACGGCAGCAGCGGCGGCGAAUCUUUUAAAGUCCGCCUACGCACGUAGACGCUGCUGUGACUCGCAUUCGGACGGGGGUUCAACUCCCCCCAUCUCCACCA
This 352-nucleotide transfer-messenger RNA is filed under the name Kiritimatiellaceae bacterium TMED266. It matches the Rfam family "transfer-messenger RNA". Rfam says of the family: Bacterial tmRNA, also known as 10Sa RNA or SsrA, is named for its dual tRNA and mRNA-like properties. The record is from RNAcentral. RNAcentral also lists the same sequence under 2 other names. Lineage: Bacteria; Pseudomonadati; Kiritimatiellota; Kiritimatiellia; Kiritimatiellales; Kiritimatiellaceae.